AAGUGUCUAUGUGGAUGUAUCAUUUUGUGUUAGCACCAUUUCAAGUUCAAGUUCAUUUAGAAUUCAAAUAUUUGAAGAUUGGGUCGUCUUAGAAUUUCAAUAUCAUUUUGAGUUUGGAUCGUUUUGAGCUCAAGUUGUCUCUACUUUAGGUCACUUCAUGCUCAAAUUUUUUUAAAUUCAAGUCAUUUCGAGUUCAAGUGAACUCAAGCAGUUUUAAGUCAUUUUAAG
This 228-nucleotide long non-coding RNA is filed under the name Theobroma cacao (cacao). Its description in RNAcentral is "long non-coding RNA (TCAC_LNC003733)". Lineage: Eukaryota; Viridiplantae; Streptophyta; Magnoliopsida; Malvales; Malvaceae. The record is from RNAcentral.